Molecule: ribosomal RNA, 460 nt
Filed under: uncultured bacterium
Lineage: Bacteria
Description: partial 16S ribosomal RNA
Rfam family: Bacterial small subunit ribosomal RNA
Source: RNAcentral
CCUACGGGAGGCUGCAGUGAGGAAUAUUGGUCAAUGGACGCAAGUCUGAACCAGCCAUGCCGCGUGCAGGAAGACGGCUCUAUGAGUUGUAAACUGCUUUUGUACGAGGGUAAACGCAGAUACGCGUAUCUGUCUGAAAGUAUCGUACGAAUAAGGAUCGGCUAACUCCGUGCCAGCAGCCGCGGUAAUACGGAGGAUUCAAGCGUUAUCCGGAUUUAUUGGGUUUAAAGGGUGCGUAGGCGGUCGGAUAAGUUAGAGGUGAAAUCCCGAGGCUCAACUUCGGAAUUGCGUUUGAUACUGUUCGGCUGGAGAGUAGUUGCGGUAGGCGGAAUGUAUGGUGUAGCGGUGAAAUGCUUAGAGAUCAUACAGAACACCGAUUGCGAAGGCAGCUUACCAAGCUACUUCUGACGUUGAGGCACGAAAGCGUGGGGAGCAAACAGGAUUAGAUACCCCAGUAGUC